UACGUAGGGUGCAAGCGUUGUCCGGAAUUAUUGGGCGUAAAGAGCUCGUAGGCGGUUUGUCGCGUCGAAUGUGAAAACCCGGGGCUCAACCCCGGGCCUGCAUUCGAUACGGGCAGACUAGAGUUCGGUAGGGGAGUCUGGAAUUCCUGGUGUAGCGGUGAAAUGCGCAGAUAUCAGGAGGAACACCGGUGGCGAAGGCGGGACUCUGGGCCGAUACUGACGCUGAGGAGCGAAGGCGUGGGGAGCGAACGGG
This 253-nucleotide ribosomal RNA is filed under the name uncultured bacterium. RNAcentral describes it as "partial 16S ribosomal RNA". It matches the Rfam family "Bacterial small subunit ribosomal RNA", at positions 524 to 776 of the family's 1533-position model. The record is from RNAcentral.